GAUGAACGCUGGCGGCGUGCCUAAUACAUGCAAGUCGAGCGAACAGACGAGGAGCUUGCUCCUCUGACGUUAGCGGCGGACGGGUGAGUAACACGUGGAUAACCUACCUAUAAGACUGGGAUAACUUCGGGAAACCGGAGCUAAUACCGGAUGAUAUAUUGAACCGCAUGGUUCAAUAGUGAAAGACGGUUUUGCUGUCACUUAUAGAUGGAUCCGCGCCGCAUUAGCUAGUUGGUAAGGUAACGGCUUACCAAGGCAACGAUGCGUAGCCGACCUGAGAGGGUGAUCGGCCACACUGGAACUGAGACACGGUCCAGACUCCUACGGGAGGCAGCAGUAGGGAAUCUUCCGCAAUGGGCGAAAGCCUGACGGAGCAACGCCGCGUGAGUGAUGAAGGUCUUCGGAUCGUAAAACUUUGUUAUUAGGGAAGAACAAAUGUGUAAGUAACUAUGCACGUCUUGACGGUACCUAAUCAGAAAGCCACGGCUAACUACGUG
This 497-nucleotide ribosomal RNA is filed under the name uncultured bacterium. RNAcentral's name for it is "partial 16S ribosomal RNA". It matches the Rfam family "Bacterial small subunit ribosomal RNA", at positions 28 to 507 of the family's 1533-position model. The record is from RNAcentral.